This 798-nucleotide ribosomal RNA is filed under the name uncultured archaeon. Its description in RNAcentral is "bacterial SSU rRNA". It matches the Rfam family "Archaeal small subunit ribosomal RNA", at positions 1 to 762 of the family's 1478-position model. The record is from RNAcentral.
GCGGGAAUUCGAUUUUCCGGUUGAUCCUGCCGGACCUUAUUGCUAUCGGGGUGAGACUAAGCCAUGCUAGUUGUGCGCUCCCUAGUUAUGUUGGGAGAGCAGCGAAAAGCUCAGUAACAUGUAGUUAAUCUGCCCUUAGGACAGGGAUAACCCCGGGAAACUGGGGCUAAUAUCCGAUAGACGGAAACAUCUGGAAUGGUUUUCCAUCGAAAGGUUCCUAGAAACAUGCUUCUAGGAAUGCCUAAGGAUGAGACUGCAACCGAUCAGGUAGUUGGUGGGGUAACGGCCCACCAAGCCUAUAACCGGUACGGGCCCUGAGAGGGGGAGCCCGGAGAUGGGAACUGAGACAAGGUCCCAGGCCCUACGGGGCGCAGCAGGCGCGAAACCUCCACAAUGCGCGAAAGCGUGAUGGGGUUACCCCGAGUGCCGCCCGUUGAGGGGGGCUUUUCCUCAGUGUAAGGAGCUGGGGGAAUAAGGGGGGGGCAAGACUGGUGUCAGCCGCCGCGGUAAUACCAGCCCCCCGAGUGAUAAGGACGAUUAUUUAGCCUAAAGCGUCCGUAGCCGGCUUAGCAAGUCUUUCGUUAAAUCUAACGACUUAAUCGUCAGAAUGCGGAAGAUACUAUUAGGCUUGAGGGCGGGAGAGGUUGACGGUAGUCCCAGGGUAGGGGUGAAAUCCUAUAAUCCUGGGAGGACCACCAGUGGCGAAGGCGGUCAACUAGAACGCGCCUGACGGUGAGGGACGAAAGCUGGGGUAGCGAACCGGAUUAGACACCCGGGUAGUCCCAGCUGUAAACGAUG